GGCUUACACCCAUUGAAAAAUGGUUUAACACUGAACUGAAGGAUUAUGCCAAGGGACUCCCGACACUAUAACCAACUUAAAUGAGAUGAAACAGUUACAUUGCCUACACCGUCAUGUGUUUCUUAAAGGAACACUAUAGGCACUAUGGCAACUUUGCCUUGUUGAAGUUGUUAUAGUGCCUUUAGUCCUACCCUCCUGUGUCCUAACCACAAAAUGUAAUAUUUUAA
Molecule: non-coding RNA, 227 nt
Organism: Pelobates cultripes (western spadefoot toad)
Lineage: Eukaryota; Metazoa; Chordata; Amphibia; Anura; Pelobatidae
Source: the annotation of a GenBank genome assembly